CGGUCGCAGGCGGCAAGGUGGUGGAUGAGCUGCUGGAGGCCACGGCAGGUGGCGGGGUUCGGGCAAUGGGUGGGGUCACGCGGCGGCGGUCCGCGGCCGGAUGGCCCGACCUCGGUGCAGCCCUCCGCGCAGAUGUGCUGCAAGCACUCCAUGGCCUCGCUCAGCUCCGUGUAUACUUUCUCCUCCUCCCUCUUCCGCCGCCGCCGCUUCUGCCUCUGAGAUCAUUCGUAUAGUACGCGCCGUCAAUAUCAACUAAUGCCGGAAGGAUAAAGAUCGGAGUGGUGCGAUGUCGGUACCAGAUGGGCGUCUUGGAGGGAUUGGAGGAUGUCGAGCUCGAGCCAGGGGUCGUUGUCCUGGAGGAAGCGCCACGCCUCGGUGCUCUCGACGGCGGCGUAGUCCCUGGCGAUGAGCCUCAGGCAGCGGAGGUGCAGCCAGGGCGCGUCGCACCGCCGUGCCAGCACCAGCACGUCCACCACCCCCUCCGCCGUCAGCCGCGAUGCCAGCGCCCGCUCGCACGCCCGCUUCAGCCACCCCACCUGGUACACGUGCGACAGGACCAGCAAGUGCACCCCGUGCUCGCCCACCUCCGUCGCCUCCUCCCCCUCGACCGCAGGCGUCACACAACUCCUGUAGUGAUGAAUCUUACCAUGAGAAAUCCAACACCGACAGAGAUUGAACUGUGGAGUCCUAAAUGCAUCGUUGGAGAGGCAGGUUUCAGAUCUUGGCGGCUAGCUCUCAUGGUGUGGACCUACAUGGCAGAGGUGGGAUCGUCCAUUGUCCUUGCAAUGGGGUUCUCGAGAAAAUAACAGGUGAACAGGCAUGAUGAUGAUGAUUCAAAGUGGAGGUUGAAAUCUGUGGAGCACGAGAAUUGCGUGGUUUGGAUCAAUAACAGGACUAACAUCGCAAUCAAAACAGAGCUCUUUUCUACCCUCUCUUUGAACUCUCUCCUGUGGUGGUGGUCGUGGUGGUGCCAACCCUGUCCCAUCUACGUCAUCACACGGAGACCUUUAGCACCACCGCCGCCGCACUAGAAACCAAGGUUGCAUUGGUUGGUGGAGGCUUUUCCGAUUUGAAUGGUACAGACUUGCUUCGGAGUUAAGGAAUCAAGGAGAUGACCGACGAACCUGGCGGAGUAGAGCAGGCGAACGAAGGCACACACUGCGUCGUGAGGAACUCCAAGUAUCGGAAUCACUCUUCCUUCUCCCCC
This 1207-nucleotide long non-coding RNA is filed under the name Musa acuminata (dwarf banana). Its description in RNAcentral is "long non-coding RNA (MACU_LNC006668)". The record is from RNAcentral. Lineage: Eukaryota; Viridiplantae; Streptophyta; Magnoliopsida; Zingiberales; Musaceae.